Caenorhabditis elegans is the source of this 21-nucleotide non-coding RNA. The record is from Ensembl. Lineage: Eukaryota; Metazoa; Nematoda; Chromadorea; Rhabditida; Rhabditidae.
UGGUUCUUCAGCCUGUGGAGU